ACUUUGUUGAGUUUCGCGGUGUCGCUGUGCUUGGAAAGACAAUUUCCUUUUCAGCAGCACUGGUAUGGACUUUGGAUGAUCUUGCCUGCUUCUUCAUUUCUCUCUUUCUCAUGAAAGCCUUUCUCUUCUCGGCUGUCAGAAAUCUUGAAAGGUCAUACAAAAAGGCAUACGGAAAGAAGCCCAGCGAGAAGAGUUUUCCUGCUGAUGAAGACAGAAAAGGCACUGCAGCAGAUCCUGCUGGGACAGGUCCCAGGGAGAGAGCACGAGCGUUGAAACCUGCACCAGCAGCCCGGGCGAGGCGGCUCCUUGUGCUAG
Homo sapiens (human) is the source of this 315-nucleotide long non-coding RNA. RefSeq lists it as uncharacterized. The record is from RefSeq and is a predicted model, not a curated record. NCBI's taxonomy places the organism in Eukaryota, Metazoa, Chordata, Mammalia, Primates, Hominidae. The transcript is spliced from 3 exons.